This is a non-coding RNA of Papio anubis (olive baboon), 84 nucleotides long. The record is from Rfam. Lineage: Eukaryota; Metazoa; Chordata; Mammalia; Primates; Cercopithecidae.
UAUUAGGUUGGUGCAAAAGUAAUCGUGGUCUUUGACAUUAAAAGUAAUGGCAAAGACCACGAUUACUUUUGCACCAACCUAAUA